AGGGUCUUGGCUUUUUCACCCAGGCUGGAGUGCAGUGGCACGAUCUUGGCUCACGACAGCCUCGGACUCCUGGGAUCAAGCCUUCCUCCCACCUCAGCUCCCCAAGUAGCUGGGACUACAGGCACAGGCCACAGUGCCUGGGCCUGGCAGAUAUUCGUAAACCACAAUCCUUGCAUCAGGAAUCCUACAGGCUAGUGUGAAGUGAGACAGAUAAACAGAUAAUGUUAUUUGUUUGGCAGUAACACCUAACCACAACGCUCCUGAUGUUCCAAGAGUUCUGUCCAGUUAUCAUUUCCUUUGUCUGAAGAACUUCCCUGAGCAGUUGUUGCAGAGCUGAUUGCUGAUGAAAAAUUCUCUUAGUUUUACUUCAUUUGUGAAUUCUUACUUUUACCUUCAUUCCUAAAGGUUAUUUUCACUGGACUUAGAAUUCUGAGUUGACAUUUGUUUUCUCUGAGCACUUUAGAAUGUUCUGUCUUCUGGCUUUCAUGGGUUUUGAUGCAAAGUUCACAGUCACUUGAAUCAUUGUUUCCGUAUAAGUAAUGUGUUAUUUUUUUCCGGACAUUCUCUUUUUUUUUCUUUUGCUUUUAAUUUCAGUAGUUUGGUUAUAAUGUCUAGGAAUGAAUUUCGUUGAAUUUGUCUUGCUUGGAGUUUCCGGGGCUUCCUGAAUCUGUAAGUUUAUGUUUUUCUCCAAAUUCGGAAAGUUUUCAGUUUUUAUUUCUGUAAGCAUGUUUUCUGCACUGCACUGUCUCUUCUCUUUCUCUGACUCAAAUGGCACAAUUAGACAUUUUCAUGUGGUCCCAUACAUCCCUGAGGCUGUAUUCAUUGUUUCCAGUCUUUUUUCCUCUGUGUUGUUUAAAUUGGCUAUUUUAAAAUGUCUGUCUUCAAGCUGAUUCAUUCUUUUUCUGUCAUCUCCAUUCUGCCAUAUUGAGCCCAUCCAGUGAAUGUUUAAACUUUUGGUCAUUGUGUUUUUUUAGUUGUCAGAUUUUCAUUUGGUUUUUCUUUAUAUAUUUUAUUUCUUUUCUGAGACUUCAUACCUUUCAUUUGUUUCAAGUAUGUUCCUUCUCACUUUUGGAGCACUUUUAUAUUGCUGCUUUAGUCUUUCAUAGAUAAGGUCAACAUAUGUGUCAUCUCAGUAUUGGCUAAGAUUUUCCUCAUAGGCCAAGUGUCUUGACUACUUCAAAUGUUAU
This 1187-nucleotide long non-coding RNA is filed under the name Homo sapiens (human). RNAcentral's name for it is "HSALNT0178763". Lineage: Eukaryota; Metazoa; Chordata; Mammalia; Primates; Hominidae. The record is from RNAcentral.